Molecule: ribosomal RNA, 404 nt
Filed under: Actinomycetes bacterium
Lineage: Bacteria; Bacillati; Actinomycetota; Actinomycetes
Description: Actinobacteria bacterium partial 16S ribosomal RNA
Rfam family: Bacterial small subunit ribosomal RNA
Source: RNAcentral
UGGGGAAUAUUGGACAAUGGGCGCAAGCCUGAUCCAGCCAUGCCGCGUGAGUGAUGAAGGCCCUAGGGUUGUAAAGCUCUUUCACCGGUGAAGAUAAUGACGGUAACCGGAGAAGAAGCCCCGGCUAACUUCGUGCCAGCAGCCGCGGUAAUACGAAGGGGGCUAGCGUUGUUCGGAUUUACUGGGCGUAAAGCGCACGUAGGCGGACUAUUAAGUCAGGGGUGAAAUCCCGGGGCUCAACCCCGGAACUGCCUUUGAUACUGGUAGUCUUGAGUUCGAGAGAGGUGAGUGGAAGUCCGAGUGUAGAGGUGAAAUUCGGAGAUAUUCGGAGGAACACCAGUGGCGAAGGCGGCUCACUGGCUCGAUACUGACGCUGAGGUGCGAAAGCGUGGGGAGCAAACAGG